Molecule: long non-coding RNA, 1311 nt
Organism: Pimephales promelas (fathead minnow)
Lineage: Eukaryota; Metazoa; Chordata; Actinopteri; Cypriniformes; Leuciscidae
Source: RefSeq, a predicted model, not a curated record
UAACCAGUUGUUUUCCAAAUGGCUGAGAUUGGCGAGCCAUGUUGUUUUUAUCAUCCACUACAAACCUGCAUAGCAACAGGACACACCUCUCCUAGCUAUGUGCAUUUGUAAGCCAAUCACUAUUGAGUUUCAGUUGUGACGUCGUUUUUGUUGACACUUCCAUUAGCUGGCCACAUGCGAAACGUCACUGCAGCAGCGUGCUCUCGUGACCCUCGACGACGUCCACCCUGCGUUUUCUGCCUGGAAACAAAACACCGCGAGCUAAUCGGAGCUGUGGAAAAAACGUUAGAUUCCAGUGGUUGGAGGCUGCGUGGGGAAAUGGGGUCGGAUCAAAGUACCAGUUCGGCUGUUGACCAGCGACAGAGGAAUCCAGGCAAUCUGCCAUUCCAAGGUGAAGCAUCUUCAUCCAGUAUCCAAACUGAUACUGGUCCUGAGCCCCAGGAUCAUCUGGAUCCAGACACCAACCUGCCUCAAUGCCGAAUAGGCUCCAGGAAGGUAGACGACAUGAGCUUCAUGAUAUCCUGCACUAACUGGUACUAAAGACCAGAUACCAACUAUAUGAAUCGUUUCGUCCAUGAAUGAGAGCCAGAUUCAGUGUGGGACAACAGAAGACAUGGAGGCGGAGACAUUGAACAGAUGACGUUGGUAACCUCCAUGGAGGUUGCAAUGCUGUUUGAAUGGGUUUGAUGCAAUUUCUGACUUUAAUGUCAUGCAGUGUGCUUGAAGACAUCAAAGACGAAGUUUACUCUUGUGUACUGAUUGCAUUGUAUCAAAAGAGCAUGUAUUAUGUUGUUGAUAUCAACUUGGACUAAUGAAAUGUGAUCCAGAAAUCACCAAACAUCUUAAUGUAAUUUUCUUUUAUUGACAUUUCUUUGAACAUGGUGAUAUUAGAUACACAGUGUAAAACUGUAGACUGAAACCGUAAAUAAAAUCGACUCAUUGUCCAAAGGAUUCAAAAACAGGAUUCAAGAAAUAAAACUUAAAUCAUAUCUAAUAUAUUAGUAAAGCAAUCACUCUCAUUCUUAAUAAUCAACAUUAUGCAUGACAAUGUGAAAUCAUAGGCUACCGUUAGAGUGAAAGGAAAAUACAAAAGGUCUGAAAAGUUUCAGUAAAUCUUUGUAUUUACAUGACCAUUAAAACCCGGACGAAGCUGAGCAGACAGCGACAUUUGACCUGUAAAUCAGAAAAUAUCAAAAGUCCAAGGACAGAAUCUGAAUUCAUUGAAACUACAGAGUGAGAUGUUCACUCUUAAAUUCUUGUCAAAGGGAAAAAACAACCAGUUAUAUACACUUAUACAGUAAAUUCCCCCAU